GCGGACAGAUGGGAGCUUGCUCCCUGAUGUUAGCGGCGGACGGGUGAGUAACUCGUGGGUAACCUGCCUGUAAGACUGGGAUAACUCCGGGAAACCGGGGCUAAUACCGGAUGGUUGUUUGAACCGCAUGGUUCAGACAUAAAAGGUGGCUUCGGCUACCACUUACAGAUGGACCCGCGGCGCAUUAGCUAGUUGGUGAGGUAACGGCUCACCAAGGCGACGAUGCGUAGCCGACCUGAGAGGGUGAUCGGCCACACUGGGACUGAAACACGGCCCAGACUCCUACGGGAGGCAGCAGUAGGGAAUCUUCCGCAAUGGACGAAAGUCUGACGGAGCAACGCCGCGUGAGUGAUGAAGGUUUUCGGAUCGUAAAGCUCUGUUGUUAGGGAAGAACAAGUGCCGUUCAAAUAGGGCGGCACCUUGACGGUACCUAACCAGAAAGCCACGGCUAACUACGUGCCAGCAGCCGCGGUAAUACGUAGGUGGCAAGCGUUGUCCGGAAUUAUUGGGCGUAAAGGGCUCGCAGGCGGUUUCUUAAGUCUGAUGUGAAAGCCGGCGGCUCAACCGGGGAGGGUCAUUGGAAACUGGGGAACUUGAGUGCAGAAGAGGAGAGUGGAAUUCCACGUGUAGCGGUGAAAUGCGUAGAGAUGUGGAGGAACACCAGUGGCGAAGGCGACUCUCUGGUCUGUAACUGACGCUGAGGAGCGAAAGCGUGGGGAGCGAACAGGAUUAGAUACCCUGGUAGUCCACGCCGUAAACGAUGAGUGCUAAGUGUUAGGGGGUUUCCGCCCCUUAGUGCUGCAGCUAACGCAUUAAGCACUCCGCCUGGGGAGUACGGUCGCAAGACUGAAACUCAAAGGAAUUGACGGGGGCCCGCACAAGCGGUGGAGCAUGUGGUUUAAAACGAAGCAACGCGAAGAACCUUACCAGGUCUUGACAUCCUCUGACAAUCCUAGAAGAUAGGACGUCCCCU
This 973-nucleotide ribosomal RNA is filed under the name Bacillus velezensis. Its description in RNAcentral is "bacterial SSU rRNA". It matches the Rfam family "Bacterial small subunit ribosomal RNA", at positions 66 to 1019 of the family's 1533-position model. The record is from RNAcentral. Lineage: Bacteria; Bacillati; Bacillota; Bacilli; Caryophanales; Bacillaceae.